RNAcentral lists this ribosomal RNA (483 nucleotides) under uncultured bacterium. RNAcentral describes it as "bacterial SSU rRNA". It matches the Rfam family "Bacterial small subunit ribosomal RNA", at positions 1 to 524 of the family's 1533-position model. The record is from RNAcentral.
UGGAGUUUGAUCAUGGCUCAGGAUAAACGCUGGCGGCGUGCCUAAUGCAUGCAAGUCGAACGGAUGCUUUUCGCAAGAGAAGCAUUAGUGGCAAACGGGUGAGUAACACGUGGGGAUCUGCCCAGUAGUGGGGAACAACUCCUCGAAAGAGGAGCUAAUACCGCUCGAAAGAGUAAAGCCUUCGCAAGGGGGCGCUAUUGGAGGAACCUGCGGCUGAUUAGCUAGUUGGUGGGGUAAAGGCCUACCAAGGCUUUGACGGGUAGCCGGCCUGAGAGGGCGACCGGCCACACUGGGACUGAGACACGGCCCAAACUCCUACGGGAGGCAGCAGUGGGGAAUAUUGGACAAUGGGCGCAAGCCUGAUCCAGCCAUGCCGCGUGAGUGAUGAAGGCCUUAGGGUUGUAAAGCUCUUUCGUUGGGGAAGAUAAUGACGGUACCCGAAGAAGAAGCCCCGGCUAACUUCGUGCCAGCAGCCGCGGUAAU